RNAcentral lists this ribosomal RNA (465 nucleotides) under Vreelandella stevensii. RNAcentral's name for it is "partial 16S ribosomal RNA". It matches the Rfam family "Bacterial small subunit ribosomal RNA", at positions 338 to 795 of the family's 1533-position model. Lineage: Bacteria; Pseudomonadati; Pseudomonadota; Gammaproteobacteria; Oceanospirillales; Halomonadaceae. The record is from RNAcentral.
CCUACGGGCGGCAGCAGUGGGGAAUAUUGGACAAUGGGGGGAACCCUGAUCCAGCCAUGCCGCGUGUGUGAAGAAGGCCCUCGGGUUGUAAAGCACUUUCAGUGAGGAAGAACGCCUGGUGGUUAAUACCCAUCAGGAAAGACAUCACUCACAGAAGAAGCACCGGCUAACUCCGUGCCAGCAGCCGCGGUAAUACGGAGGGUGCGAGCGUUAAUCGGAAUUACUGGGCGUAAAGCGCGCGUAGGUGGCUUGAUAAGCCGGUUGUGAAAGCCCCGGGCUCAACCUGGGAACGGCAUCCGGAACUGUCAAGCUAGAGUGCAGGAGAGGAAGGUAGAAUUCCCGGUGUAGCGGUGAAAUGCGUAGAGAUCGGGAGGAAUACCAGUGGCGAAGGCGGCCUUCUGGACUGACACUGACACUGAGGUGCGAAAGCGUGGGUAGCAAACAGGAUUAGAUACCCCAGUAGUU